GACAGAGGGUGCAAACGUUGUUCGGAAUUACUGGGCGUAAAGCGUGUGUAGGCGGUUCUGUAAGUCGGAUGUGAAAGCCCCGGGCUCAACCCAGGAAGUGCAUUCGAUACUGCAGAGCUAGAGUAUCGGAGAGGUUGGUGGAAUUCUCGGUGUAGAGGUGAAAUUCGUAGAUAUCGAGAGGAACACCGGUGGCGAAGGCGGCCAACUGGACGAAUACUGACGCUGAGACACGAAAGCGUGGGGAGCAAACAGG
This 253-nucleotide ribosomal RNA is filed under the name uncultured bacterium. RNAcentral's name for it is "partial 16S ribosomal RNA". It matches the Rfam family "Bacterial small subunit ribosomal RNA", at positions 524 to 776 of the family's 1533-position model. The record is from RNAcentral.